GCGGCAGUAGCUCAGUGGUAGAGCCCCGGCUUCACAUGCGGGGAGACCUGGGUUCGAUUCCCGGUUGCUUCC
This is a transfer RNA of Toxocara canis (dog roundworm), 72 nucleotides long. It matches the Rfam family "tRNA". Rfam says of the family: Transfer RNA (tRNA) molecules are approximately 80 nucleotides in length. Their secondary structure includes four short double-helical elements and three loops (D, anti-codon, and T loops). The record is from Rfam. Lineage: Eukaryota; Metazoa; Nematoda; Chromadorea; Rhabditida; Toxocaridae.